GUCUGGCUGGCUCAGUCGGUAGAGCACAGGACUCUUGAUCUUGGGGUUGUAAGUUCGAGCCCCACACUGGGUA
RNAcentral lists this transfer RNA (73 nucleotides) under Ailuropoda melanoleuca (giant panda). It matches the Rfam family "tRNA". From Rfam's summary of the family: Transfer RNA (tRNA) molecules are approximately 80 nucleotides in length. Their secondary structure includes four short double-helical elements and three loops (D, anti-codon, and T loops). Further hydrogen bonds mediate the characteristic L-shaped molecular structure. tRNAs have two regions of fundamental functional importance: the anti-codon, which is responsible for specific mRNA codon recognition, and the 3' end, to which the tRNAs corresponding amino acid is attached (by aminoacyl-tRNA synthetases). tRNAs cope with the degeneracy of the genetic code in two manners: having more than one tRNA (with a specific anti-codon) for a particular amino acid; and 'wobble' base-pairing, i.e. permitting non-standard base-pairing at the 3rd anti-codon position. The record is from Rfam by way of RNAcentral. Lineage: Eukaryota; Metazoa; Chordata; Mammalia; Carnivora; Ursidae.